RNAcentral lists this ribosomal RNA (509 nucleotides) under Vibrio cholerae. RNAcentral describes it as "bacterial LSU rRNA". It matches the Rfam family "Bacterial large subunit ribosomal RNA", at positions 48 to 596 of the family's 2925-position model. Lineage: Bacteria; Pseudomonadati; Pseudomonadota; Gammaproteobacteria; Vibrionales; Vibrionaceae. The record is from RNAcentral.
GAUGAAGGACGUUACUAACGACGAUAUGCUUUGGGGAGCUGUAAGUAAGCUUUGAUCCAGAGAUUUCCGAAUGGGGAAACCCAGCAUGAGUUAUGUCAUGUUAUCGAUAUGUGAAUACAUAGCAUAUCAGAAGGCACACCCGGAGAACUGAAACAUCUUAGUACCCGGAGGAAGAGAAAGAAAAUUCGAUUCCCUUAGUAGCGGCGAGCGAAACGGGAAGAGCCCAAACCAACAAAGGACGACAUUAGACGAAUCAUCUGGAAAGAUGAAUCAAAGAAGGUAAUAAUCCUGUAGUCGAAAAUGUUGUCUCUCUUGAGUGGAUCCUGAGUACGACGGAGCACGUGAAAUUCCGUCGGAAUCUGGGAGGACCAUCUCCUAAGGCUAAAUACUCUCUAGUGACCGAUAGUGAACCAGUACCGUGAGGGAAAGGUGAAAAGCACCCCGGAAGGGGAGUGAAAUAGAACCUGAAACCGUGUGCUUACAAGUAGUCAGAGCCCGUUAAUGGGUGA